Molecule: ribosomal RNA, 334 nt
Filed under: uncultured eukaryote
Lineage: Eukaryota
Description: partial 18S ribosomal RNA
Rfam family: Eukaryotic small subunit ribosomal RNA
Source: RNAcentral
CCCUUAGAUGUCCGGGGCCGCACGCGCGCUACACUGAAGGAAUCAGCGUGGCUUUCUCCCUGACCCGAAAGGGUUGGGAAACCCGUUGAAUCUCCUUCGUGAUAGGGAUUUGGGCUUGAAAUUGUUCCCCAUGAACGAGGAAUUCCCAGUAAGCGCGAGUCAUAAGCUCGCGUUGAUUACGUCCCUGCCCUUUGUACACACCGCCCGUCGCUACUACCGAUUGAACGGUUUAGUGAGGGCCUCGGAUUGGUCUCGGCCCGCUCUUUACCGGGCGGCGCCGUUGGUCGAGAAGACGCUCGAACUUGAUCGUUUAGAGGAAGUAAAAGUCGUAACA